This 497-nucleotide ribosomal RNA is filed under the name uncultured bacterium. RNAcentral's name for it is "partial 16S ribosomal RNA". It matches the Rfam family "Bacterial small subunit ribosomal RNA", at positions 28 to 507 of the family's 1533-position model. The record is from RNAcentral.
GAUGAACGCUGGCGGCGUGCCUAAUACAUGCAAGUCGAGCGAACGGACGAGAAGCUUGCUUCUCUGAUGUUAGCGGCGGACGGGUGAGUAACACGUGGAUAACCUACCUAUAAGACUGGGAUAACUUCGGGAAACCGGAGCUAAUACCGGAUAAUAUUUUGAACCGCAUGGUUCAAAAGUGAAAGACGGUCUUGCUGUCACUUAUAGAUGGAUCCGCGCUGCAUUAGCUAGUUGGUAAGGUAACGGCUUACCAAGGCAACGAUGCAUAGCCGACCUGAGAGGGUGAUCGGCCACACUGGAACUGAGACACGGUCCAGACUCCUACGGGAGGUAGCAGUAGGGAAUCUUCCGCAAAGGGCGAAAGCCUGACGGAGCAACGCCGCGUGAGUGAUGAAGGUCUUCGGAUCGUAAAACUCUGUUAUUAGGGAAGAACAUAUGUGUAAGUAACUGUGCACAUCUUGACGGUACCUAAUCAGAAAGCCACGGCUAACUACGUG